GUGGGGAAUAUUGCACAAUGGGCGCAAGCCUGAUGCAGCGACGCCGCGUGAGGGAUGACGGCCUUCGGGUUGUAAACCUCUUUCGCCAGGGACGAAGGGUGAUACUGACGGUACCUGGAGAAGAAGCACCGGCUAACUACGUGCCAGCAGCCGCGGUAAUACGUAGGGUGCGAGCGUUGUCCGGAAUUAUUGGGCGUAAAGAGCUCGUAGGCGGUGUGUCGCGUCUGCCGUGGAAACCGGGGGCUUAACUCUCGGCGUGCGGUGGAUACGGGCAUCACUUGAGUUCGGCAGGGGAGACUGGAAUUCCUGGUGUAGCGGUGGAAUGCGCAGAUAUCAGGAGGAACACCGGUGGCGAAGGCGGGUCUCUGGGCCGAUACUGACGCUGAGGAGCGAAAGCGUGGGGAGCGAACAGGAUUAGAAACCCUGGUAGUCC
RNAcentral lists this ribosomal RNA (433 nucleotides) under uncultured bacterium. Its description in RNAcentral is "bacterial SSU rRNA". It matches the Rfam family "Bacterial small subunit ribosomal RNA", at positions 354 to 796 of the family's 1533-position model. The record is from RNAcentral.